Molecule: ribosomal RNA, 138 nt
Filed under: uncultured bacterium
Lineage: Bacteria
Description: partial 16S ribosomal RNA
Rfam family: Bacterial small subunit ribosomal RNA
Source: RNAcentral
UGGGGAAUAUUGCACAAUGGGGGAAACCCUGAUGCAGCGACGCCGCGUGAAGGAAGAAGUAUUUCGGUAUGUAAACUUCUAUCAGCAGGGAAGAAAAUGACGGUACCUGAACUAAGAAGCCCCGGCUAACUACGUGCC